RNAcentral lists this ribosomal RNA (473 nucleotides) under uncultured organism. Its description in RNAcentral is "partial 16S ribosomal RNA". It matches the Rfam family "Bacterial small subunit ribosomal RNA", at positions 329 to 798 of the family's 1533-position model. The record is from RNAcentral.
ACGUACACUCCUGCGGGAGGCAGCAGUGAGGAAUAUUGGACAAUGGGUGGAAGCCUGAUCCAGCCAUCCCGCGUGCAGGAAGACGGCCCUAUGGGUUGUAAACUGCUUUUAUCUGGGGAUAAACCUACUUACGUGUAAGUAGCUGAAGGUACCAGAAGAAUAAGCACCGGCUAACUCCGUGCCAGCAGCCGCGGUAAUACGGAGGGUGCAAGCGUUAUCCGGAUUUAUUGGGUUUAAAGGGUCCGUAGGCGGACUGAUAAGUCAGUGGUGAAAUCCGACAGCUUAACUGUCGAACUGCCAUUGAUACUGUUAGUCUUGAGUAAGGUUGAAGUGGCUGGAAUAAGUAGUGUAGCGGUGAAAUGCAUAGAUAUUACUUAGAACACCAAUUGCGAAGGCAGGUCACUAAGUCGUAACUGACGCUGAUGGACGAAAGCGUGGGGAGCGAACAGGAUUAGAAACCCGGGUAGUCCCAU